This 464-nucleotide ribosomal RNA is filed under the name Lodderomyces parapsilosis. Its description in RNAcentral is "eukaryotic LSU rRNA". The stretch from base 135 to 288 matches the Rfam family "5.8S ribosomal RNA". The record is from RNAcentral. Lineage: Eukaryota; Fungi; Ascomycota; Pichiomycetes; Serinales; Debaryomycetaceae.
UUACUGCAUUUUUUCUUACACAUGUGUUUUUCUUUUUUUGAAAACUUUGCUUUGGUAGGCCUUCUAUAUGGGGCCUGCCAGAGAUUAAACUCAACCAAAUUUUAUUUAAUGUCAACCGAUUAUUUAAUAGUCAAAACUUUCAACAACGGAUCUCUUGGUUCUCGCAUCGAUGAAGAACGCAGCGAAAUGCGAUAAGUAAUAUGAAUUGCAGAUAUUCGUGAAUCAUCGAAUCUUUGAACGCACAUUGCGCCCUUUGGUAUUCCAAAGGGCAUGCCUGUUUGAGCGUCAUUUCUCCCUCAAACCCUCGGGUUUGGUGUUGAGCGAUACGCUGGGUUUGCUUGAAAGAAAGGCGGAGUAUAAACUAAUGGAUAGGUUUUUUCCACUCAUUGGUACAAACUCCAAAACUUCUUCCAAAUUCGACCUCAAAUCAGGUAGGACUACCCGCUGAACUUAAGCAUAUCAAA